This 253-nucleotide ribosomal RNA is filed under the name uncultured bacterium. Its description in RNAcentral is "partial 16S ribosomal RNA". It matches the Rfam family "Bacterial small subunit ribosomal RNA", at positions 524 to 776 of the family's 1533-position model. The record is from RNAcentral.
UACAUGUGGGGCAAGCGUUGUUCGGAAUUACUGGGCAUAAAGGGUGCGUAGGCGGCUUGUUAAGUCAGGGGUGAAAGUUUUCGGCCCAACCGGAAAAUUGCCUUUGAUACUGGCGAGCUCGAGUGCGUGAGGGGUAACCGGAACGAGCAGUGUAGCGGUGAAAUGCGUAGAUAUUGGGAAGAACACCGGUGGCGAAGGCGGCUCUCUGGACCGAGACUGACGCUGAGGCGCGAAAGCGUGGGGAGCAAACAGG